GGGGAGCUGCAGCUGUGAGGCCCAGGACCCUUAGCAGGACAUGCAGAGCUGGGCAGGGACCCAGGCUCAUGCUCCCAGCGGGGGUGGGGAACGCAGAGCCCUGCCCAGAGGCUUGAACCUGGCACCACAGGGAUCUGGAAUUACACAGAAGACGGGUGACAGCCAAGGUGGAUCAUGAACGGUGAGGAGAAGUCCAGCAGGUGACAAGGGGAAGGGUCUAAAGGGUGGAGGCCACAGCGCAAGCAAAGUCUUGGCAACAAAAGAGCUAAUGCAUCCCAGAAACGGGACAGGUGGAGCACUGGAAGCUACACCAAGCUUCAGAGUGGUCCUGUGGCCUCGGUGUGGUAGCUCAGGCCUGUAAUUCCAACACUUUGGGAGGCUGAGGCAGGAGGAUAACUUGAACCCAGGAGUUCAAGAUCAGCCUGGGCAA
RNAcentral lists this long non-coding RNA (430 nucleotides) under Pongo abelii (Sumatran orangutan). RNAcentral's name for it is "lincRNA". The record is from RNAcentral. Lineage: Eukaryota; Metazoa; Chordata; Mammalia; Primates; Hominidae.